UCUGUCCCUGUGUGGGGGACAACCCGGGGAAACUCGGGCUAAUACCGCAUAGGCAGGCACUUCUUCUGAAGAGCCUGGGAAAGAGGCCCUCUUUACAAUGGUCUCAUGCAGGGAGGAGCUCGCGGGCUAUCAGCUUGUUGGUGGGGUAACGGCCUACCAAGGCGACGACGGCUAGCUGGUCUGAGAGGACGACCAGCCACACUGGGACUGAGACACGGCCCAG
RNAcentral lists this ribosomal RNA (223 nucleotides) under uncultured bacterium. RNAcentral's name for it is "partial 16S ribosomal RNA". It matches the Rfam family "Bacterial small subunit ribosomal RNA", at positions 125 to 334 of the family's 1533-position model. The record is from RNAcentral.